Long non-coding RNA from Numida meleagris (helmeted guineafowl), 530 nucleotides. RefSeq lists it as uncharacterized. Lineage: Eukaryota; Metazoa; Chordata; Aves; Galliformes; Numididae. The record is from RefSeq and is a predicted model, not a curated record. The transcript has 3 exons.
UUUUGAAAUUGUGCUCUUUAUUGAUGACUAUGCAAUACUGAAUCGGCUGUUUCAGCAAUGAGGCUGUGGGACUCGGCUUCCAUGCCAGCGUUACUGUCGUACGUCCCAGAGAAGUAACAUCAAUUCUCGGAUCAUAAGCUCUUUUCCUUCUCAUGUUGCUACCUACUGCCACUUUUGUGCACAAAGGCAGGAUGAGGGCUGAAGAUCCAAAGGUCAUAGCAAUGGGCCUGCUGCAAGACUCAGCUCUGCGCUGAGAUUGGCUUGAGGAGCUUUGAAUCCAGGAGAAAAGCGGGAGCUGGAGGGACAUGGUUAGUGGCCCUGCUUCGGGGAACAUCUGUGGUCGUCUGCGAGGGCUCUGGGAUUGUAGCAGAAAUCACACAAACUGCACAGACCUUCAGCUGAGAGGCCAGACUGGGAUGGAGCUCGCAUAGUUACUUAAUUCACCAGACAGAGUGCUGGCAUUUGCAUUUCUCUUACUCAGAUCCAGCUUUGAUUCAAAACACACAACAAAUAAAGCUGCUGUUUUCCAA